RNAcentral lists this long non-coding RNA (4124 nucleotides) under Homo sapiens (human). Its description in RNAcentral is "non-protein coding LINC01522:5". Lineage: Eukaryota; Metazoa; Chordata; Mammalia; Primates; Hominidae. The record is from RNAcentral.
AUUGUGAGCCUGGGUGAGAGAGAGAGACCGAGGAGGAUGGAGGUCUGAUGGGGUUCAUCACAUCUGAGCCAGGACUGGCUUUUCUUGGCUGCAAGCUGAAAGUUGGGUCCAGGUCUGCUGUACUGAGGGUCUCCUAUCUUCCUUGGACAGGGACAACCAGAGGCCUAUUUAUCUCAUGAUGGAAGGCAGGAGAACAAGCAGGCAAGACCAGCUGUGCUAGCACAUGCCACCUCUUUGCCCACGUCACACCUGCUGACGUCCCAUUGGCCAAUGCAAGUCACACAACCAAAGCCAACAUCAACAGGACAAGGAAACAGACUCUGCCUCUAGAUGCACAAACUACAGAGUCACGGACAGAGGACACGGAUCCAGGGAAGGAAGAUGGAGAAUGAGAACAAUGACCCUCAAUAACACAGCCUCCCACAGGUUUCCAAAUCCCCAACCCAGGCAUAUAUCCAAGGAAAUGGAAUCAUGGGUUCAGGUUUUAGAGCAAGCAAUUUCUGCUCUCCCUGCCUAGUUUCCACACCCUUAACACAGGGGCAAUGAUGUCACAUCAAAACAUAUCAUACAAAUUUGUGAUGAUGUUUCAACAACUAAACACCAGAAAAAUGCUUAGGGCAGGGCCGGGUAGGAGGGGCAGAAGCCAAUAGUAACUUAACAUCACUGCUAACCCACAAAGUUCUGGGAAUUUCUUUGAAUGUCUAAUUAGAGAACCAUGUCCCCAAGAAUUAACAUUUCUUUUGCUUUUUUUUGAAUCUGAGAAAAUACUAAUUGUCACAGGGUAGAAUAUUUAUCUGAUGAGCAUAUAGAAGUUAAGGGCUCCUUGAAAUCACAGUGCUAGGUUUGGGUCUCAUUCCUCCUCCUACCUGCCUCUCUGAGCCUCAGUUUCUCAUCUGUAGAAUGGGUACAAUCCCAACCUCAUGUGUUUGUGGCAGUCAGGGUUAAUUGGGCUAAUGAUUCUAAAGUGCUCUGCGCAGGCCUGGCAGGUACUGAGCAACCUUGGGCCAUAGAGAGAGCACUGACUUGGGAGUCAGGAGCUGGGACCUCAGGUCCUAUUCCCUGGGGAUCCGGGAAAAGUCCCUUGGCUUCCCUGAGCUUCAUCUGCCCCACGUGCUAGUGAGGUGGCUAGACCAGUCAGGCCAAGGACGUCCCUGCAGCUAUCUAACUUCUCCUUACUCCCUGUUCAGCAAAGGGCAGGAGCUGGGCCUGGCCAGGCUCCCACAAAGCCCAGGCGUGGCCGUGCUCAGCUCACGACGGGUGUGGGGGAUGCGUUUCUGCCCUCAAAGGACUGAGCUCCAGUUUCUUUCUUCACUGAGUCCUUUACUCUCUGCCUGCGGGUGGUUAUUUAAGACAUCUCCUGCCUGCAGGGGCCUCUUAGAGAACAAACAGAUCGUUCCUUCAGCUGCAGUGCAGGCUUUACUGGGCUUGUUCCUGCAUCAAGUAGACAGAUCCUUCCUGAAUGGAGUCGCCCCACAGGCCCCACACUCGGAGAGGGGCAGCCAGGAGCCUCCGAGGCUCUGCCCAGCCCGUCCUGAAUGUGCUCCCUGCCCUGAGUGGAGCGCUCACAGCUCCCCGCAUCAAGGUUUCUGUCUCCCCAAGGAUCUUCCUCAUAAAAACCCUUCUUCUCCCAGAUCCCACAAACCGACAUUAUAAAAAACACAAACACCCAAUAAGCACCAUGUAAAUUGAUCACAUACAAAUAAUAUCCAAAAAUAAGAACUCGUAUAACCACUUUAAACUAUAGAACAUGUCUGUUGGGAUUUGUGGGAGAUCAUGGAUCACAGGUUCCCCCUGCUCCUGGUUCAGCACUGUGAGAAAUGGAAGUGAGGUUCACCCAGGGACGGGAAAGCGUCAGCUGCCACUCAUGAGGCUGGGGGGCAGGGGAAGCCCUUCAUCCGUGGACACAAACAGGCAUCCUAACAUGACUUCCAUGAGCAGAAGUGGGCAGACAGGGCUGAAAAGCUGACCUUACAAGGCUGAGGACCUGCCUUGAGCUCUGCCUGACUGCAGAGAAGGAAAGUUCUCUUCUUGCAACCUCAAAUCUUCCAGAUAAGAACCAAACGACAUCCGGCCUUUGCGUUCUCUCCACCAGCUCCCGGCUCACCCACCCAGCAGCUCAGCACCUGCGAAAUCCGUCUCCCGAUGCACACUUGCUAACCGCGUGGGUGUGAGCACAACGAUGGGAAACAGCGGAAGUCCCCGGAGUGCAGACUCAGGAGUGAACCUGCCUGAAGAGUGGCGUCUAACGCACACACUGUGGUCAGCUCCACCCCACUAUGGGUCCCGGGAAUAGGAGCAAGUAUGUAUUUUGCUUGCAGGGCAGGUGUUUCAUCCACAUUAUUGCAGGAACAGAUGAAUUUAAUUAAAAGAACACCACAGUGGGCACCUCUUCCAGGGAUGCCUCCCUCUAAGAACAUGACACUGAGAUGAUCAAGGUUCUAAAAGGGCGAUCAAAUCACUCUCCGAAAAUGAAACUGCUCAGACAGAAUGACAAUUAAAUUAAUAACAACCAAGACAAUGCCCAGAUUUCAUCUCCGCUCACAGCCCCUCCUGUGUGCUGUAUGAUCAGGUUCUUGGGGGUGGCUCCAGAUACAGCAAACAGUCAGGAUUAAUCCACAAGAGUGAGCUGUCAGCAUGAGGUUCCCCUACAGUGGAGCUUGCCAAGGUCCGUGGCUCCCAGGGCACCCGUUCCAGGGCUAACAGAUGAAGCAUGGAAAUGCUGUGUGGAGUGAGCUGAGCAGCCAUUCUCAGGAGAAAACAGACAAAUCCUCCUGCACCCUGGCAAACCAGCUUUGUGGCCUGUUUUAUGUCAUCUUUGCUGAGCUCCACCGGGUCACCCCUCCUGCUGGCUUUGUGAUAUUGACAUUUCAGGCACUGGCACAGAUACAUUGGCCUUCCUGGCUGGGAUUUCACGGACGGAGUGAGCAGUGCUGGCUUGGAGGAGCCGUGGCGGCACAGGGCCUGUGCCCUCAGCUGAUCAGUGCCUGUCCUGACCCCAAAGGGCCCUCGCAGCACUGUUUGAAAUUGCUCUUGCCAUGUUUGGAACCGAUUCCUCGGUACGUUUCAGACUCAUUGUUGUGACUUUGGUUUCAAUCCAGGGACACACCGUGGCCAAUGGAGUGUCUCAACAGCAUCUAUGAUCGCUGUUUCCCAGAGACAGCAUCUCAGAUACCGAUGCUGAAAGAGAAACAGCAGCCUGUCCCCAGGUGGCAGGAAAUAGUCCAUUUUAACGGCAAUUUCAUAAGUGGCAGAUGAUUUUUAUUGUAAUUUUCUGGUGAGCUGAUUAAGUGGAGGCAGAGUCAGUUCUGAGGCGUCAAUGUCUUUAACAACUCGGGGAGACCGAGGCCAUGCUCAGCAGGAACACUAAGUCCAUGGAAAACAGGCCCUGGGCCCGCUGAUGUGCAUAAUUCCACGUUUGCCCCCCAUGUAACCAGGAUGGUAAAUUACAGGUGUCAGAUAAUCACGCUCUGGAGUGGCUACUUGAGGAUGCGAUCGACCAAUUUAAGCUCCGUCUGACACAUGAUCAAUAGCCCGUGAUGCUGCAUGGAAUUGCAGGCACAGCGUCCAAACCUGCAGAGCAGUGGCUCCCAGCUGUGGCAACUUUGCCCCCCAGAGGACAUUUGGCAAUGUCUGGAUAUGUUUGCAAUUGUCACAACUAGGAGAGGGGGAUGCUAUUGGCAUCUGGCGAGUGAGGCCAAGGAUGCUGCUAAACCUCCCAUGAUGCACAGGAGAAGUCCCCACACAGACACAUCCUGCGCAGACUGUCCAUAAAGCUUAAAUGAGAUGCUCUGACUUAGAGCCACAGUGAACAUUCCAUUCCAUCGUCUGGGUAUCUCCAGGGAUGUACGUAGCUGGAUGUCUAGCUUUUCAUCUGGGUAUGACCGGCCUCACGCAGAAUCAAAACCAUGUGUAGGUCGAAUCUCUUAUUUGCUCUCCUGCUUCCUUUCAUUGUAAUAUUCUCCUUCUCAUUAGUAUUUUCUGUUAUUGGAGGAAUGGUAAGAAAACAUAAAAUGCUGGAGAGUUACGAUUUUGUUUCUGUCAAUAAAAAAGUAAUUUGCCAGUGACUCAUAAAAAGCAGAAAAUUAAUUAGAGAAGACAUGAGAUCUAUCAAAAAGCUGAUCAGG